Molecule: long non-coding RNA, 2062 nt
Organism: Coturnix japonica (Japanese quail)
Lineage: Eukaryota; Metazoa; Chordata; Aves; Galliformes; Phasianidae
Source: Ensembl
UAGCAUGCAUUUGUGGUUUGACUUUUUUUUAGGACUCAGCAGAAAGGUCAGCAGGAAGGAACCCUUUCUGAGGAUAUCUUUUGGAUCUGAAGUCUGCCUUGGGAUAGGACAGGCUACCAAACGUACACGGAUUAGUAGACAGAAGAUACAGAUGCCUCAGAUUUGACAGCUGGAGCGGCCAAAUGUGAAUAAGGAGACAAGUUGCUGUAACACCCGUAAAACUGGUAAAGUCCCUCAGACCUGGAGAAAAUCCUAGUAGAUCAAAUAGUAAGAUUCCAACCUAAUUCAAACUGAACCUAAAUCUGUCCCUUUGUCUAUUUUUCUGACUAGGGUGAGGAUCUCAAACUCAGUCUGCAGCAACUCACAACACCUGAACAUACCUAAUUAACGACUUAUUUAGAGCAGCAGUGGGGAAACUCUGCUGUUUGUUUUUUUUUCUCUCAGGUGCUUCAUGCUGCUCUUGGAAGGACCCUGGUUCAGCACAAAGUGCUCUGGGUGGUGAAGCUUCUGUAGUGAUGAACAGCAGGUUGAAGGUGAAGGUCUCUGCUGCGGCUUUUCCUCUUCUCUGAGAGAGGAACCAAGAACUUCAAAGCUCCGAACUUGAGCACCUUGAGUGAAGGACACUGAUUAUGAUCUGUCUGAAAUAUCUCCAAAUUCCUGAACAACCUCCUGCUGUUAACACCAUUACCAAAGUUGGGCCCUAGAGUCCUACAGGGUCACCCAGGUAUCCUUACUGCUAUGAUAGAUUGCAUUUAUCUUGUCUCCUUCUUUGAUGAAUGCUGAGCAAUAACAGUAAAUCUUUCUCUCCUUAUGUGCAGAAUUGGUUUUCAGUUGGAGUUGAGAACCUCCAGAGUAAAUCCAAGAAACAUUUGCAGGCAAAAAACCGUGGAAGAUCACAUUGCUGCUCCAGUUGCUGGAUACUUCCAAGUGGAAGGAGUGCAAAAUCCAGUUUUGCCUGUGCCAAUCUCAACCAUGCUUAACUUAUGUUCACAGAAGAAACUGAGCACAUUUUUGGGGUAGGUGUAACAUGUACCCAGCUGGCACAGCCAUAGUGGGGCUGCCGUUAGCUCUCUCCCUUCUGCACUGAUGGACACAUCGGGGGCACUGUGAGCCAUGCUCAGUGCAGAACAGGAAUGGAUGUGAGGCUGAGGUGAAAGGGAUGAUAGAAAACUACUCAGAAAUCAAGAGAAGUUUUGUAUUUUGUGAGCCUGAUUUGCUAAAAAUGCCCCCAGAUUUUAUUCUUCAUUCAAAAACAGGCUCUCUCCUGAAUAGAAAUCUGUCUAUUUGAAGUCUAAGUGACUUUGAGAUUAAACAACAAAUUAGGUUUCUGGAUUUUCAAAUUCUAUUUUAAUUGAAUGUUCUAGCCAUGCAGUAUGUAAAGAAACUGAGAAUGUCUGAUGCCAAAUGGCACACUUAUUAUUUGAAAUUUGAUGGCAAAUUUGCCCUUAAUUUUAUCCAAUUAUAUUAAGAGGUCUUUCUGUUACAAAACAUUACAAAGCAAUACUAAGGCCAGAGAGGUGCUAGAGAAAUCUUUUUUCUGUCAUGUGGAGCACUGUACAGAAUUGCGUGGGUUUAAACAAGAUGUAUCUUGAUGUUUUACCUUAAAACUCUCUGUCCUUUUCCUCAGUUCAGCUGAAUCCUAUGAAAUAGAUACGCAGCUUGGAGUUCUUCACGCCCCCACAAAUGCUAAAAAUGGCCCUGAUACAACAUGUAUUUAUGUAACAAAAUCAUCUGCAUUAAUAUCUUCCUUUCCUUUCGGCAAGAAGCACAGGGGGGGACUCAGGCUGACACAUUUCAAUGCAGCCCCUUCCAUUCUUCUUGCAUUUGGGGCAGCAGGGACAAGCAUAGCUCUCCCCUAAAAACCAGUGAAUGCACAGGAACAUGAUAUGACUAUCAAUAGAGAGUUUGAGGGAAGAUUGUCGUCCAAGCUUUCAGGUUCUCUCCCCCUGAAUAUUCAGUUUCCUGAUACAGAUCAAAAUCACUUGUAACAAGGAUUCUGGCCGCUCUUGUUGUGCUGAUGUUCCAAAAUAAAUAAGGUAUUUGAAAUAUAAAAUUUCCUCCA